UACGUAGGGCGCAAGCGUUGUCCGGAAUUAUUGGGCGUAAAGAGCUCGUAGGUGGCGUGUCGCGUCUGCCGUGAAAGCCCAUGGCUUAACUGUGGGUCUGCGGUGGAUACGGGCAGGCUGGAGGCUGGUAGGGGCAAGCGGAAUUCCUGGUGUAGCGGUGAAAUGCGCAGAUAUCAGGAGGAACACCGGUGGCGAAGGCGGCUUGCUGGGCCAGUUCUGACGCUGAGGAGCGAAAGCGUGGGUAGCAAACAGG
RNAcentral lists this ribosomal RNA (253 nucleotides) under uncultured bacterium. RNAcentral's name for it is "partial 16S ribosomal RNA". It matches the Rfam family "Bacterial small subunit ribosomal RNA", at positions 524 to 776 of the family's 1533-position model. The record is from RNAcentral.